RNAcentral lists this small nucleolar RNA (104 nucleotides) under Patagioenas fasciata monilis. RNAcentral describes it as "Small nucleolar RNA SNORD124". It matches the Rfam family "Small nucleolar RNA SNORD124". The record is from Rfam by way of RNAcentral. Lineage: Eukaryota; Metazoa; Chordata; Aves; Columbiformes; Columbidae.
UCCCUCCCUGGAAGGGGUGAUGUGUCAGCACCAAACCCAAGAUAAGGACUCUGCAUUUGCGUGUGAUGAAACUCACUGAGUGCUCUGACCUUCCAUGGUGCGGG